RNAcentral lists this non-coding RNA (225 nucleotides) under Fragilariopsis kerguelensis. The record is from RNAcentral. Lineage: Eukaryota; Bacillariophyta; Bacillariophyceae; Bacillariales; Bacillariaceae.
GAAAAAAGCCAAAGCUGCAUAUGUUGCUUCCGGCACGUUUGCUGUGAAUGCUGCUUGUGCUGUCGUCGUGAAUGAGUUCACUACCUCAUCAUCCUCUUUGGUAGAAGUGGUAGCAGUGGCACCAACUCUUUCUACUUCUACUUCUCAGGCACUCGAAAAACAACAAGAACAACAAGACAAAGUCAACAGCCCUGCUACUAUUGACGUUGGUAAAUUUGUCGUGGA